AUAUGGCCAGAGAAACGAGGACAGAAAGUUCAAAAAGCUACAGUAAAACAAGUCUGUUAAACUUCUCAUUGAUAUUUUUUGUUUUUUAAUUAAAUCCUACAGGUUGUCACUGUCAAAUAUUUCACAACAGACAAACCUGACUGGUACUUUUCCAAAAACAGUUGUAGUGCAAAAUGCAAGCUUGAGGCGAGGAUAACUUGCAUUUGGCUAUAUUUCAUUUGCAUUUGCUCUAGCUGUGCUGACCUCAUAUUGUCUGGAUUAACAUCUGCCUUCAUGUCUUCAUCUUCGUCUUCAGAUUCAGAAAAAUCAUGCUCUGUACAGAAUUUUAAAAAGAUGAGUACAUGUUCUGACUGCCUGGUGGACCAUCAAACAUAAGGGUGCAAGAUUGGCAUCUUUUAGACAUGCCUUCGCUCGAAGGACAAACCUUUAAACGAAAAUAAACACUAACUCUUUUCGACUUCCAUUAAACUAAAUGCGGACAGAAUGACUUGUAUACCUGUUAGAUUCUAUGGUAGGAAAACAUUUAUACAUUCUAUACAUUUUAUAACUCAAAACCUCAGUGGAAAAAAAAUUUGACUUAUCAGAUUUUGAGCAAAUGAAAGUUACUGAGCCUUGCACACAUGUACAUGUACAUGAACAGGAAACACUACUUGCCCCCACAGUAGCUACUGGAGACGUUUCAAGUGGUUGUUUCCUUACAUCCAACAACAAAUUCUUCUACAAAUCAUCAGUUUGCCGAGAUUUCAUGUUUUUAUUAUGCAUGUAAAAUUUUCUAUUCCACUGAGAAGUAUAACACAAACCACCAAAAUUGUAUACUUUUUGUGACAUUUCUCUCGCACACAAAGGUGUGAAGCAUACAGUGCUUGCUCGAUUGGCUAGUGCUGGACACGGGGUUUUUCUGUUUGACCCCAUGAUCAUUUCUUUUAAAUCCCUUUGGGGCUCACCAUUUUGCAUUU
Acanthaster planci (crown-of-thorns starfish) is the source of this 956-nucleotide long non-coding RNA. RefSeq lists it as uncharacterized. Lineage: Eukaryota; Metazoa; Echinodermata; Asteroidea; Valvatida; Acanthasteridae. The record is from RefSeq and is a predicted model, not a curated record.